This 434-nucleotide ribosomal RNA is filed under the name uncultured Lachnospiraceae bacterium. RNAcentral's name for it is "partial 16S ribosomal RNA". It matches the Rfam family "Bacterial small subunit ribosomal RNA", at positions 341 to 792 of the family's 1533-position model. The record is from RNAcentral. Lineage: Bacteria; Bacillati; Bacillota; Clostridia; Lachnospirales; Lachnospiraceae.
ACGGAAGGCAGCAGUGGGGAAUAUUGCACAAUGGGCGAAAGCCUGAUGCAGCGACGCCGCGUGAGUGAAGAAGUAUCUCGGUAUGUAAAGCUCUAUCAGCAGGGAAGAAAAUGACGGUACCUGACUAAGAAGCCCCGGCUAACUACGUGCCAGCAGCCGCGGUAAUACGUAGGGGGCAAGCGUUAUCCGGAUUUACUGGGUGUAAAGGGAGCGUAGACGGUUUGGCAAGUCUGAAGUGAAAUGCGGGGGCUCAACUCCUGAACUGCUUUGGAAACUGUCGAACUAGAGUGCAGGAGAGGUAAGUGGAAUUCCUAGUGUAGCGGUGAAGUGCGUAGAUAUUAGGAGGAACACCAGUGGCGAAGGCGGCUUACUGGACUGUAACUGACGUUGAGGCUCGAAAGCGUGGGGAGCAAACAGGAUUAGAUACCCUGGUA